UACGAACUGUGCAAACGUUAUUCGGAAUCACUGGGCUUAAAGGGUGCGUAGGCGGCUCGUUAGGUAGGGUGUGAAAGCCCCCGGCUCAACCGGGGAAUUGCGCCCUAAACCGGCGGGCUGGAGUGAGAUAGGGGUGUGUGGAACUUCCGGUGGAGCGGUGAAAUGUGUUGAUAUCGGAAGGAACGUCGGCGGCGAAAGCGAUGCACUGGUUGGUUACUGACGCUGAGGUGCGAAAGCCAGGGGAGCAAACGGG
RNAcentral lists this ribosomal RNA (253 nucleotides) under uncultured prokaryote. RNAcentral's name for it is "partial 16S ribosomal RNA". It matches the Rfam family "Bacterial small subunit ribosomal RNA", at positions 524 to 776 of the family's 1533-position model. The record is from RNAcentral.